Molecule: ribosomal RNA, 2924 nt
Filed under: Methylococcaceae bacterium
Lineage: Bacteria; Pseudomonadati; Pseudomonadota; Gammaproteobacteria; Methylococcales; Methylococcaceae
Description: 23S ribosomal RNA
Rfam family: Bacterial large subunit ribosomal RNA
Source: RNAcentral
GUUAUAUGGUCAAGUGAAUAAGCGCAUACGGUGAAUGCCUAGGCGGUAAGAGGCGAUGAAGGACGUUGUAGCAUGCGAUAAGCCACGGUUAGUUUGCAAACUAACUUUGAUCCGUGGAUUUCCGAAUGGGGAAACCCGGCCAGGACAACCUGGUCAUCAGUGACUGAAUACAUAGGUCAUUAGAAGCGAACCCGGAGAACUGAAACAUCUAAGUACCCGGAGGAAAAGAAAUCAACCGAGAUUCCCUUAGUAGCGGCGAGCGAACGGGGAUUAGCCCUUAAGCAUUAAUUAAGUUAGUAGAACACUCUGGAAAGUGUGGCCAUAGACGGUGAUAGCCCGGUAUACGAAAAUUUUUUUAGUGUGAAAUCGAGUAGGUCGGAGCACGUGAAACUCUGACUGAACAUGGGGGGACCAUCCUCCAAGGCUAAAUACUCCUUACCGACCGAUAGUGAACUAGUACCGUGAGGGAAAGGCGAAAAGAACCCCGGAGAGGGGAGUGAAAUAGAUCCUGAAACCGUAUGCGUACAAGCAGUGGGAGCAUGUCUUCGGACGUGUGACUGCGUACCUUUUGUAUAAUGGGUCAGCGACUUAAUCUUAGUGGCGAGCUUAACCGAAUAGGGGAGGCGUAGCGAAAGCGAGUCUUAAUAGGGCGAAUUAGUCGCUAGGAUUAGACCCGAAACCGGGCGAUCUAUCCAUGGCCAGGUUGAAGGUGGGGUAAUACCUACUGGAGGACCGAACCCACUUAUGUUGAAAUAUGAGGGGAUGAGCUGUGGAUUGGAGUGAAAGGCUAAUCAAGCCCGGAGAUAGCUGGUUCUCCUCGAAAGCUAUUUAGGUAGCGCCUCGUGUAUAACUAUUGGGGGUAGAGCACUGUUUCGGCCAGGGGGUCAUCCCGACUUACCAACCCGAUGCAAACUCCGAAUACCAAUAAGUUCCAGCACGGGAGACACACAGCGGGUGAUAAGGUCCGUUGUGAAAAGGGAAACAGCCCAGACCGUCAGCUAAGGUCCCAAAAUCUAUGCUCAGUGGGAAACGAUGUGAGAAGGCCCAGACAGCCAGGAGGUUGGCUUAGAAGCAGCCAUCCUUUAAAGAAAGCGUAAUAGCUCACUGGUCGAGUCGGCUUGCGCGGAAGAUUUACCGGGGCUAAGCAUAGUACCGAAGCUACGGAUCAUACUUUUAGUAUGGUGGUAGAGGAGCGUUCUGUAAGUCUGCGAAGGUCAAUUGAGAAGUUGGCUGGAGAUAUCAGAAGUGCGAAUGCUGACAUGAGUAACGAUAAUGGGGGUGAAAAACCCCCACGCCGAAAACCCAAGGUUUCCUGCGCAACGCUAAUCGACGCAGGGUUAGUCGGUACCUAAGGCGAGGCCGAAAGGCGUAGUCGAUGGAAAACAGGUUAAUAUUCCUGUACCGCAAUUAACUGCGAUGGGGUGACGGAGAAGGCUAGAUCAGCCAACUGUUGGAAUAGUUGGUUUAAGCACGUAGGGAGGACUCUUAGGUAAAUCCGGGGGUCUAUAUUCUGAGGUGUUAUGACGAGUUUCUUUUCGAAGAGAUGAAGUGAUUGAUGCCAUGCUUCCAAGAAAAACCUCUAAGCUUCAGGUUAAUUGUGGCCGUACCCCAAACCGACACAGGUGGGUGGGAUGAGAAUUCUAAGGCGCUUGAGAGAACUCGGGUGAAGGAACUAGGCAAAAUGGUACCGUAACUUCGGGAGAAGGUACGCCCUAUAGGUGAAGCGACUUGCUCGUGGAGCUCAAUAGGGUUGCAAUAAAAUGGUGGCUGCGACUGUUUAUCAAAAACAUAGCACUCUGCAAACUCGAAAGAGGACGUAUAGGGUGUGACGCCUGCCCGGUGCCGGAAGGUUAAUUGAUGGGGUUAUCUUCGGAGAAGCUCUUGAUCGAAGCCCCGGUAAACGGCGGCCGUAACUAUAACGGUCCUAAGGUAGCGAAAUUCCUUGUCGGGUAAGUUCCGACCUGCACGAAUGGCGUAACGACGGCCACACUGUCUCCACCCGAGACUCAGUGAAAUUGAAAUCGCUGUGAAGAUGCAGUGUACCCGCGGCUAGACGGAAAGACCCCGUGCACCUUUACUAUAGCUUUACGCUGGACUUUGACCCUACUUGUGUAGGAUAGGUGGGAGACUUUGAAGCAGGAACGCUAGUUUUUGUGGAGUCAACCUUGAAAUACCACCCUGGUAUGUUUGAAGUUCUAACCUAGGUCCGUUAUCCGGAUCGGGGACAGCGUAUGGUGGGUAGUUUGACUGGGGCGGUCUCCUCCCAAAGAGUAACGGAGGAGCACGAAGGUACCCUCAGCAUGGUCGGAAAUCAUGCAAUGAGUGCAAAGGCAUAAGGGUGCUUGACUGCGAGAUAGACACAUCGAGCAGGUACGAAAGUAGGUCUUAGUGAUCCGGUGGUUCUGAAUGGAAGGGCCAUCGCUCAACGGAUAAAAGGUACGCCGGGGAUAACAGGCUGAUACCGCCCAAGAGUUCAUAUCGACGGCGGUGUUUGGCACCUCGAUGUCGGCUCAUCACAUCCUGGGGCUGGAGCAGGUCCCAAGGGUAUGGCUGUUCGCCAUUUAAAGUGGUACGCGAGCUGGGUUCAGAACGUCGUGAGACAGUUCGGUCCCUAUCUGCCGUGGGCGUUUGAGAUUUGAGGGCAUCUGCUCCUAGUACGAGAGGACCGGAGUGGACGAACCUCUGGUGUUCCGGUUGUCACGCCAGUGGCAUUGCCGGGUAGCUAUGUUCGGACAGGAUAACCGCUGAAAGCAUCUAAGCGGGAAACCUCGCCCAAGAUGAGAUCUCACUGGUACUUUAAGUACCCUGAAGGGCCCUGAGAGACUAUCAGGUUGAUAGGCUGGGUGUGGAAGCGCAGUAAUGUGUGAAGCUAACCAGUACUAAUUGCCCGUGAGGCUUGACCAUAUAACACCCAAGUAGUUUGG